GAUGAACGCUGGCGGCGUGCCUAAUACAUGCAAGUCGAGCGAACGGACGAGAAGCUUGCUUCUCUAAUGUUAGCGGCGGACGGGUGAGUAACACGUGGAUAACCUACCUAUAAGACUGGGAUAACUUCGGGAAACCGGAGCUAAUACCGGAUAAUAUUUUGAACCGCAUGGUUCAAAAGUGAAAGACGGUCUUGCUGUCACUUAUAGAUGGAUCCGCGCUGCAUUAGCUAGUUGGUAAGGUAACGGCUUACCAAGGCAACGAUGCAUAGCCGACCUGAGAGGGUGGUCGGCCACACUGGAACUGAGACACGGUCCAGACUCCUACGGGAGGCAGCAGUAGGGAAUCUUCCGCAAUGGGCGAAAGCCUGACGGAGCAACGCCGCGUGAGUGAUGAAGGUCUUCGGAUCGUAAAACUCUGUUAUUAGGGAAGAACAUAUGUGUAAGUAACUGUGCACAUCUUGACGGUACCUAAUCAGAAAGCCACGGCUAACUACGUG
RNAcentral lists this ribosomal RNA (497 nucleotides) under uncultured bacterium. RNAcentral describes it as "partial 16S ribosomal RNA". It matches the Rfam family "Bacterial small subunit ribosomal RNA", at positions 28 to 507 of the family's 1533-position model. The record is from RNAcentral.